CCCCUCUCAGGAUGGCACCUGGAGGGUUUCCAGGACUCCACCAGUCUCAGCUAUAGGAGGGAGAGUCAAGCAGAGGCCUGUCCAUUCCAUUCCUAGUUUGGGCAGUGGCUAGUGAGUGGAAGACAAUCUGUUACAAGU
This is a small nucleolar RNA of Ornithorhynchus anatinus (platypus), 138 nucleotides long. The record is from RefSeq and is a predicted model, not a curated record. NCBI's taxonomy places the organism in Eukaryota, Metazoa, Chordata, Mammalia, Monotremata, Ornithorhynchidae.